GACGAACGCUGGCGGCGUGCCUAAUACAUGCAAGUAGAACGCUGAAGGAGGAGCUUGCUUCUCCGGAUGAGUUGCGAACGGGUGAGUAACGCGUAGGUAACCUGCCUGGUAGCGGGGGAUAACUAUUGGAAACGAUAGCUAAUACCGCAUAACAGUAGAUGUUGCAUGACAUUUGCUUAAAAGGUGCAAUUGCAUCACUACCAGAUGGACCUGCGUUGUAUUAGCUAGUUGGUGAGGUAACGGCUCACCAAGGCGACGAUACAUAGCCGACCUGAGAGGGUGAUCGGCCACACUGGGACUGAGACACGGCCCAGACUCCUACGGGAGGCAGCAGUAGGGAAGCUUCGGCAAUGGACGGAAGUCUGACCGAGCAACGCCGCGUGAAUGAAGAAGGUUUUCGGAUCGUAAAGCUCUGUUGUAAGAGAAGAACGAGUGUGAGAGUGGAAAGUUCACACUGUGACGGUAUCUUACCAGAAAGGGACGGCUAACUACGUG
Molecule: ribosomal RNA, 495 nt
Filed under: uncultured bacterium
Lineage: Bacteria
Description: partial 16S ribosomal RNA
Rfam family: Bacterial small subunit ribosomal RNA
Source: RNAcentral